Molecule: ribosomal RNA, 317 nt
Filed under: uncultured bacterium
Lineage: Bacteria
Description: bacterial SSU rRNA
Rfam family: Bacterial small subunit ribosomal RNA
Source: RNAcentral
GACGAACGCUGGCGGCAUGCCUAACACAUGCAAGUCGAACGGAGAUUAUUUCGGUAAUCUUAGUGGCGAACGGGUGAGUAACGCGUAGGCAACCUGCCCUUUAGUUGGGGACAACAUCCCGAAAGGGGUGCUAAUACCGAAUGUGAUCGCUUUCUCGCAUGAGAGAGCGAUGAAAGAUGGCCUCUAUUUAUAAGCUAUCGCUAAAGGAUGGGCCUGCGUCUGAUUAGCUAGUUGGUGGGGUAACGGCUCACCAAGGCGAUGAUCAGUAGCCGGUCUGAGAGGAUGAACGGCCACAUUGGGACUGAGACACGGCCCAG